Molecule: ribosomal RNA, 385 nt
Filed under: uncultured Hydrogenophaga sp.
Lineage: Bacteria; Pseudomonadati; Pseudomonadota; Betaproteobacteria; Burkholderiales; Comamonadaceae
Description: bacterial SSU rRNA
Rfam family: Bacterial small subunit ribosomal RNA
Source: RNAcentral
GGAAGUUACCAGAGAUGGUUCGUGCUCGAAAGAGAACCUGCACACAGGUGCUGCAUGGCUGUCGUCAGCUCGUGUCGUGAGAUGUUGGGUUAAGUCCCGCAACGAGCGCAACCCUUGCCAUCAGUUGCUACGAAAGGGCACUCUGAUGGGACUGCCGGUGACAAACCGGAGGAAGGUGGGGAUGACGUCAAGUCCUCAUGGCCCUUAUAGGUGGGGCUACACACGUCAUACAAUGGCCGGUACAAAGGGCAGCCAACCCGCGAGGGGGAGCCAAUCCCAUAAAGCCGGUCGUAGUCCGGAUCGCAGUCUGCAACUCGACUGCGUGAAGUCGGAAUCGCUAGUAAUCGUGGAUCAGCAUGUCACGGUGAAUACGUUCCCGGGUCUU